Molecule: ribosomal RNA, 163 nt
Filed under: Deschampsia kingii
Lineage: Eukaryota; Viridiplantae; Streptophyta; Magnoliopsida; Poales; Poaceae
Description: 5.8S ribosomal RNA
Rfam family: 5.8S ribosomal RNA
About the family: 5.8S ribosomal RNA (5.8S rRNA) is a component of the large subunit of the eukaryotic ribosome. It is transcribed by RNA polymerase I as part of the 45S precursor that also contains 18S and 28S rRNA. Functionally, it is thought that 5.8S rRNA may be involved in ribosome translocation.
Source: RNAcentral
ACACGACUCUCGGCAACGGAUAUCUCGGCUCUCGCAUCGAUGAAGAACGUAGCGAAAUGCGAUACCUGGUGUGAAUUGCAGAAUCCCGCGAACCAUCGAGUCUUUGAACGCAAGUUGCGCCCGAGGCCAUUCGGCCGAGGGCACGCCUGCCUGGGCGUCAUGC